UACAGAGGGUGCGAGCGUUGUCCGGAAUCACUGGGCGUAAAGGGCGCGUAGGUGGCGGGCCAAGUCCAUGGUGAAAGCUCGAUGCUCAACAUCGAGUCGGCCACGGAUACUGGUGCGCUGGAGCACUGUAGAGGCAGAUGGAAUUCCGGGUGUAGCGGUGGAAUGCGUAGAGAUCCGGAAGAACACCGGUGGCGAAGGCGGUCUGCUGGGCAGUUGCUGACACUGAGGCGCGACAGCGUGGGGAGCAAACAGG
RNAcentral lists this ribosomal RNA (253 nucleotides) under uncultured bacterium. RNAcentral's name for it is "partial 16S ribosomal RNA". It matches the Rfam family "Bacterial small subunit ribosomal RNA", at positions 524 to 776 of the family's 1533-position model. The record is from RNAcentral.